UAGUAGCGAGCCCGAAAGCCCCUCGGGGCGACGGGUGCUUUUAUUAGACCAAGAUCAAUCGGGCCUCGGUCCGUUUUGUGUGGUGACUCUGGAUAACUUUGUGCUGAUCGCACGGCCACGAGCCGGCGACGUUUCUUUCAAGUGUCUGCCUUAUCAACUGUCGAUGGUAGGUUAUGCGCCUACCAUGGUUGUUACGGGUAACGGAGAAUCAGGGUUCGAUUCCGGAGAGGGAGCCUGAGAAACGGCUACCACAUCCAAGGAAGGCAGCAGGCGCGCAAAUUACCCACUCCCGGCACGGGGAGGUAGUGACGAAAAAUAACAAUACGGGACUCUUUUGAGGCCCCGUAAUUGAAAUGAGUACACUCUAAAUCCUUUAACGAGGAUCCAUUGGAGGGCAAGUCUGGUGCCAGCAGCCGCGGUAAUUCCAGCUCCAAUAGCGUAUACUAAAGUUGCUGCGGUUAAAAAGCUCGUAGUUGGAUCUCAGUUACAGGCGGGAAGUGCGUGGACACCACGUUACGGCCCGUGCUGAACAUCAUGCCUGUCGUGGCUUGGUUCCCUUCAUCAGGUGCCUUGCCUUGGCCGGCGCGUUUACUUUGAAAAAAUUAGAGUGCUCAACGCAGGCGAUUCGCCUGAAUAACAGUGCAUGGAAUAAUAGAACAAGAUCCUGUUUCUGUUCUGUUGGUUUUUGGAAUACAGGAUAAUGAUUAAGAGGAACCGGACGGGA
Molecule: ribosomal RNA, 724 nt
Filed under: Ixodes persulcatus (taiga tick)
Lineage: Eukaryota; Metazoa; Arthropoda; Arachnida; Ixodida; Ixodidae
Description: SSU rRNA
Rfam family: Eukaryotic small subunit ribosomal RNA
Source: RNAcentral